RNAcentral lists this ribosomal RNA (245 nucleotides) under uncultured bacterium. RNAcentral's name for it is "partial 16S ribosomal RNA". It matches the Rfam family "Bacterial small subunit ribosomal RNA", at positions 524 to 768 of the family's 1533-position model. The record is from RNAcentral.
UACGUAGGGGGCAAGCGUUGUCCGGAAUCAUUGGGCGUAAGGAGCGUGUAGGUGGCUUGGUAAGUCCGCUGUGAAAGUCCAGAGCUCAACCCUGGAAUGCCGGUGGAAACUGUCAAGCUAGAGUCCGGAAGAGGCGAGUGGAAUUCCUGGUGUAGCGGUGAAAUGCGCAGAUAUCAGGAGGAACACCAAUGGCGAAGGCAGCUCGCUGGGACGGUACUGACACUGAGACGCGAAAGCGUGGGGAG